This 5454-nucleotide long non-coding RNA is filed under the name Sus scrofa (pig). RNAcentral's name for it is "lncRNA (ENSSSCG00055017109.1)". Lineage: Eukaryota; Metazoa; Chordata; Mammalia; Artiodactyla; Suidae. The record is from RNAcentral.
GCAGUUUGCGGACCCAAGGGCCAGGCGGCGACUGUUUCCUCGGCACAGCACAAAGGCGGCUCGUGAAGAGAGGUGCGGGCAGGUAGCUGAAGUCUGGGGGAGGGCGGUGCUGGCGGCUUCAAGAGUCUCUGCACACGCCCCUCCAACGAACAGCCAAAUGUCUGGAAAAUAAAAGGAUGACCAGUGGAGAAAGAAACGUAACCAAUAAGAGAUAUGUGAGGAGAUUUAUUAUGAUAAACUGCUCACAGAUUAUGGACCCUGAGAAGACCCACAGUCUACCACCUGCAAGUUGGAGACUCAGGAAAGCCAGCGGUGUCAUUCCACUCUGAGUUUGAAAGCCUGAGAAUCAGGGCAGCUGAUGGUAUAAAUCCUAGUCUGAAGACAAGGGAAGACCAAUAUCCAGCUCAGGGAGCAGACAGAAAGCAAAAGGGGGUUCACAGCCAGUCCAGGACAGGCUCCACAUGUCAGGCGUGGACGAAGUUGUGCAGAAGUGUAAUUACGUCGUGGUCAAUGCAGUGUUCGCUUUUGUAAGUCAGCGCAAAACAUGCCACAGACACAUUCUGUGAAUAACGUUCUGUGGCUAAAAUUCCUUGUAAUGAAAAGACAAAGUUAUAUGAAAUAGAAUGACACUUGCUACUCCAGUUAACUCCACUCUGUACCUGGGGGUUCUGACUCCAUAUGUGGUUUUGGCGGUGUGUUGCUGUGCUAGAUCCUUCCACAUUCAACAAGUGGCAGACUAUGUAAAAGGUAAGAGUCCCCAGGGCAAAGUCACUGAGCCAUGAUAUCUGUAAUUUAUACUGGGGCAUCUGAAACCUGUAUGAGAAUUUUCAAGAAACCCAUAGGAAUGGGAAUAUCACAUACAAAUUGAGCACAAUGAGAAACUUUUUAAUAGGGUCCAAGGGAGAACAAAAGAGGUAGAUCUCCACAGCCUCGGAAGAGUCAACAGCAGUGGAAAGAAGGCAAGUUUUUCCCAGAGUCCUCAUGUGGAGCACCUGUGCCCUUUCUUUCCAUCUGAUCUCCUAACACAGAGAAGCACAACCUCAGAGAAUACAGCUUGUCCCCCACGGACUUGUUCCUGGCCCCUGAAGUUGUCCUCAUAGGGGGUCCCUGGGCUCCAUCUGCAGCUAUUCUGCCAACCCCCUUCCUACAAUCAAGCUCCCCAGGCACAAUCUUGGUCAGGAACAACUUAAGGAAAUUGAGCCUGGAAUUCAGUGUCUGCUUUAGUUCUGAUACUCAGGCUUGUUCCAUCCCUAUUCAUUGGUCUUAGAACUGCCUCCCUGCUGUAUUUCUUCUCCUUGUCUUGGUGAUUUAUCUCUUAAGGGUCCUUCAAGAACUAAAGCUCACCUCGUUACUAUUUUCAGCCUCCAGGCCUCUUUUGGACCUCAGAUGAAGGGCUGGGACUGUCAGUCCCUGACAGUUUCUGGAUUCUUCAGCAUUAUGCCCCAAAGCUGGCAGCCUUCUGGUUGGACUACAGCCAGGUCAGAUACAGACUUCCUUUGCUGUUAGGCUUGGCCUAUACCCCUAUUGCCUGCCUGCCGCCGCCGUAUAGGCAGAAGCAGCUCCCAAAUCUUCCCUUUCCCAUCCAUCCUGCCUUCUUCAGGUUAACUAGGUCAUUUCAGACAGUGUCCCAAGGUAGGAAGGCUUGAGCUCAAGAGGCUAACUUCUUCCUGCUGAGUGCUAACUGCAGCUAGAAGAGUAAUUCCUAUAGCUCUGUAUCAAGAUGCUUCUUCUUUUGUGACUGCCAUGCUCUUCAGGCUUUAUUUAGGACUGUUAAUGUCAUGUACGCUAUUUACUGGUCAAAUUAAGACUAUUAUUAUAGAGUCACUGAAAGUCUUGAUUUUAAAGAUAACUUCAUGUUUUAGGAAAAUAAUCAUGAUUUAAUGUUUGGGGGGCAAGCAGGAUACAGAACUAUGUCAAGCUGUGUGAGCUCAUUGUGGCAGACAUCAUGUGGGAUUUGGGCUGCUCAGUAUCUAAACUCCCUUCCCAGGUUUAAGGAAUUUCCCACCAUGUGAUUCUACAUGUGCAGUGAAGGCCCCCUACCUUUAGAGAAGCAAAGAAUUAAGAGGCCUUUCUGUCACUGCUCCCUGACAGCUGGGGCAGGCAUGUGGCCUUGACUCAAUUAAGCACCCACCCAGACUUGGAAUUGGGGACCAGCGAUUCACAGAAGCAAGGACUAUGGAAACUCCAUCCUAUCAGUGAAGGUGACACAGUUACCAGGGCAGCAGGGCUGUCAGGGCCAGCAGAACCAGCAUUGUAUCUGGCCUCUGGUUCUGUUUCAGUUAUUGUAUUUUGCAUCUCUUCUUGCUUAAGUUUUAUAUUUUGUAUCUCUUUGCUCAGUGUUUCCUGUAAAUUAUCCGUCUUUGCCUCCAGUUUAUUUCUAAUGUCUUGCAUCAUCUUCUGCAUCAACAGUCUAAAGUCUUUUUCCUGGAGGCUGAGAAUCUUCUAAUCACUUAGCUGUUUUUCUGGGAUUUUUUUUCUUUCUCCCUUCUCUGACUUAUAGUUCUCUGUCUUUUCAUUUUUAUAGGUUUUUGGUCUGGUGACUUUUUUUACAGAUAAUAGAGUUGUAGCCUCUCUUAAUUCUGGCAUCCGCCCCCCUUGUGGCUGAAGUUGGUAUAGGGGCUUGCUGUAGGCUUCCUAAUGGGAGGGACUGAUGCCUGUCCGCUGGUAGGUGGUGCUGAUUCCUAUCCCUCUGGUGGGUGGGGCUUUGUCUCUGGGUGAGAUUAGAGGCACUGGAGUGCCUGGGGGGUCUUUAGGCAGCCUGUUUACUGAUGGGCAGGGCUGUGAUCCCACCUGGACUGUUGUUUGGCCUGAGGCUUCUCAGCCUGAUGGGUGGAGCCAGAUUUUCCCAAAAUGGCCACCUCUCGAUGUGGCCUCCUCUUUGUCUUCUGGAGUAGGAUAUCUUGUUGAAAGUUUCCAGUCCAUUUGGUUGAAGGUUGUUCAGCAUUUGGUUGUAAAUUUUGUUGUUUUUAGGAGAGAAGUUGAGCUCCAGUCCUACUAUUCUGCCAUCUUAAUCCCAUCUCCUCUGGUUCUGUUUUUUUAAAACCCUCCUUUGUCAUUUUUACUCUUUUUCAGGACUGGUUCUCUAGGCUUUCCUGUGAAUUUCUGAACUAACAAAUAUCUUUUCAGUAAAUUCCUUUCUUCUUAAAGGAGUAACAGCUUUUUCUGUUCAUUGCAGCUAAGAAUUCUGACAAGUGUACCAAUGCUUUUUAAAAUGCAAAGAGAAAAGACUUGAUGUACACUCAUUGUUAAUGAUGGUUAUCUUUAGGUGUAUAGAAUCACAGAUCAUUUUAGUUUUCUUCUUUUUUCCUGGGAACAUUUCCUAAAAAUUUCAGUAAAGUGGUAUUACCUUAGCAGUCAAGAAAGAGCUAAGUUUUAAAAUUGGAGAUUUCCUUGGAUCUCUGAAGUCCUUAAUUGUUGGAAAACAAUUACCUUGAUUAAUCAAGUGGAAUUUUAUUUUGGCACCUGUGACUUCAGUUUUGGCUUGGGCAAGUCAUAGGUAUUGGGGUAAGAGAAAUGCCAAUAUAUUUUGUGAAAAAAAAAAAAAAAGCCCGAGACCAGUUCUUACCUCGCAAUCCUGGUCUACUUAUAUUUUUUAUUUGUUUUAGAACUCUAUAGUCCUUUGAUGGGAGGCCUGAGAAUAUUGGACUAUUUUUAGAGAACUUUAACCCAAUUCCAAGCAAUAAGGAGUUUCUUAACACUAAUGUUUAUAAAUGUGUAUAAGCACAGGAACACUGCUCGUAUGAUUCUUUGUUGGUUUCUCCUAAGUAGCUAUCCCAACAGUUUUGUGAAUACUGUAAAUAAUAGUCUAAAAAUACCAGGAUAUUGAACCUACCAGUAAUUCGUGCAGUUGGCUGAGCAGCUACCAGCAAUGGUGUGAGUAACACAGUGGAAACUGUAUAAUGGUGUCCUUCGUUAGAACUAAAUCCCAGCUAUCAAGAGAAAACAAAGAUCACCAUUGAUAGGAAGCAGUGGUCGUCUUGUUUCUAUAAGAGCCUGGGGAGUUUUCAGUAUCCCCGCCUCCCUCUAGGAGAUUGCCUGCUUUUGACCAUGGGUGAGAGAUCAAAGUUACAUGGGAUGAGAGUCUCUUGCCCCUCCAUCAACACUGCUGAGACAGCAGUCAAGGGAACUCUGAAUCUGAUCCAGUUGUGAUCACUGAGUUGCUGCAGCCCUCAGAGUGUGGGGACCCUAUUGAUCAUGCCAAAUGAAGCAUCAAAGCACAGUAAAAUGGAAGAAGCAUAGCAUUUAGUCCAAUGGACUUGGUGUUAGAGCCCAGUCCAAAUAGCCACCAGCUGAUCACAUGAGGCUUUCUGAGCCUCGGUUUCACUACAGAAUGUAGAUAAAAGAAACACCUCAUAGUAUCAAAGGAAAUAGCCCAUGUAAAACUCUGAGUACAGUUUCUGGCUUAUAAUGGGUACUCAGUAAAUGGGACUUCUCUUCCAUCCAUGAGCUCUGCUCCCUUUAUUUUUCUGGGAAAUCCUUUAUCUUUUAGAAAGAGUGACUUCAGAUGCAAUUUUUGCAGAGAUAGUUAUUUUUUCCCAACCUCUCAAAUCUAGUAAAAUGCUAAAAUUACCUUCUAAUUAUUUUCUGGAAAGAGGUGCCUUGCCUGAACCAUGAAAAAUUAUCAAAAAAGGGAAACAUUCGUAGCUCAAUGAAUGAUCUGUGUCAAUAUUGCGUGUGACAAAUAUAUCAUCAUUUAACAUGUAGGAAUCAGCAUUAAAGUGCAGGGAAAAGGUAUUAGAGCAAGCCCAUGAGGUUGAAUAGUGCAACAAAAAAAGAUUGACAUUUGCUUAGUGAGGAUGCCAAGCUUGAGUGAUAAUCAACACUUUCUUCUGCUUGUUGAAUAAGAGGAAUACUCCGUAUUGAGCAAAAUGCCUUCAUAAACUGCUUGGGUGUAGCUAAUUUAUUUGGACAUUAAGAUAUAGUUUUCCCAUAUCCUUCCAAAUAGCAUUUUUGUUGCCAAUAUGUAAAUGGGUCUCCAGUCUCUCAGAAGGUGACACAAGAAAAGAAGUGCAGAAAAGAAGGAAAAUCAAACUAGAAAAGAAAAGAAGCCCUGUCCAAAAAAAUCAAUAAUUUUGCUACUGAGAAAUUGCUACCAUCCUUAUUCAGGAAGGGGUGGAAAGAUCAGACCAAGCUAACUUGUGUGAUAAAUGAGUUUAUAAAGUAGCCUGUACCAGGAGACUAAUUUAAUUGGCUGCUUAAAGUCUGAUAAUAUACCAUGCUACUACAAAUUUUUUCCUUUAUUUUAAUCUUCAAUUUAAGCUGAGUAUAAGGCACACCAUGUCUGCCUAAUGGGACAAGGAACACCAAUUGCUGCUGGGGGCAUACAACCACCUGUGGUAGGAAUUCCCUUUUGGCACAGAAAGUUAAGGAUCCAGCAUUGUCACUGCAGUGGCUUGGGUCACUUCUGUGGUGUGGCUUCGAUUCCUGGCCUGGGAACUUCCAUAUGCCAUGGUG